CAGAGGAGGACUUUAAUGAUUGGUGCCAGCAAAUCAAAAAGCUGUCCAUGGUAAGAGGAGCGCUGCCAAUGUUUGAACUGGUCGAACGCCAGCCGUCACAUUUCUCCAACCCCGAUGUCCUGAAUCUCACACCAGACUCCUCUGACGCUGACAGAUUGGAAAGGUUCUUUGACUCAGAAGAUGAAGACUUCGAAAUCCUGUCCCUUUGAAAACAAACAGGAAACUGACUCUGCAACUUUGUGUUAUGUGUGGGGGAGAAGGGGGGGAGGGAAGCUCCUUAGAGAGCCUGGGGCUACUGGUUUCCAUAGGUGCUUGCUGCCAUCCCCGCCUCUUGUCCAUCCUGGCAUUCUGUGCAGCCUCGGAGUGAAGUGCGCAUUGUCUGCGUUGGGAUGAAGAACCAAGUGGGUGUUACAGCCUUACUGGUUGGAGGAGUCAGAAUUUCUCAGCAGAAAGCAGUUGCUGGAAGUGGAUGGAGUGGUGCUUGGGACUUCAAAGCCUAUCUGUCACAUCAGCAGGUCAGUUGGCCUUCUGGGGGAGGCAUAGAAAUCGUUAGAGCGCUAAAUCCUUACAUGGCGACUCCCCUCUGAAGCUUAAAUAGAGCCACCCAUCAUUUAGCAGAUGAUAUGUACAGUUAAUUCCUUUAGCAGCUUAUUUUCUCACUGGCCAACUUGGACUGCAGCUCACAACUCAAAUGAACAGCAGAUGUGUCCUAACAAGCCAGCUGUGAAGCC
Long non-coding RNA from Antrostomus carolinensis (chuck-will's-widow), 731 nucleotides. RefSeq lists it as uncharacterized. The record is from RefSeq and is a predicted model, not a curated record. The transcript is spliced from 3 exons. NCBI's taxonomy places the organism in Eukaryota, Metazoa, Chordata, Aves, Caprimulgiformes, Caprimulgidae.